This 282-nucleotide long non-coding RNA is filed under the name Salmo salar (Atlantic salmon). RNAcentral describes it as "lncRNA (ENSSSAG00000096944.1)". Lineage: Eukaryota; Metazoa; Chordata; Actinopteri; Salmoniformes; Salmonidae. The record is from RNAcentral.
UUCCGGACCUGGGAUUCCUGGCAGUGCCUUCUGAUGGAGAUAAUCAAAGAGCGCUGUCUCUCUCUCUCUCUCGCACAAAAACAGCUACAGACACUUCUCUCCAACACGACGGUCUAAAACCACGCAGCUAACUCUAGCAGCUAAUGAAACGCAAUGGUGAGAAUGUAAAGAAGGAUAGAGGGAAAGAAUAAGAGAGAGAGAAUGGGAGAGAAAAAGACAGAGAGAGAGAGAGAGAGAGGGAUAGUGAGAGGGGGAGGGGGAGUGAGAGAGGGAGUGUGUGAG